This 300-nucleotide unclassified non-coding RNA is filed under the name Hebeloma sp. RNAcentral describes it as "partial contains small subunit ribosomal RNA and internal transcribed spacer 1". The stretch from base 1 to 46 matches the Rfam family "Eukaryotic small subunit ribosomal RNA", at positions 1786 to 1831 of the family's 1831-position model. Lineage: Eukaryota; Fungi; Basidiomycota; Agaricomycetes; Agaricales; Hymenogastraceae. The record is from RNAcentral.
AAGUCGUAACAAGGUUUCCGUAGGUGAACCUGCGGAAGGAUCAUUAUUGAAUGAACUUGGUGUGGUUGUUGCUGGCCCUUUCGGGGGCAUGUGCACACCCAUCAUCCUCAUCUCUCCACCUGUGCACCUCUUGUAGACUUGGAUUGACUUUCCGAGGCAACUCGGUCGGGAGGACUUGCUGGCAUUAGCUGGCUUUCCUUGCAUUUCCAAGUCUACGUUUUUCAUAUACCCCAUUGAAUGUAACAGAAUGUAACAUUGGGCCUUUGUGCCUAUAAAAACUUAUACAACUUUCAGCAACGG